This 206-nucleotide ribosomal RNA is filed under the name uncultured bacterium. RNAcentral's name for it is "partial 16S ribosomal RNA". It matches the Rfam family "Bacterial small subunit ribosomal RNA", at positions 1295 to 1500 of the family's 1533-position model. The record is from RNAcentral.
AGAUUGCAGGCUGCAACUCGCCUGCAUGAAGUUGGAAUUGCUAGUAAUCGCGAAUCAGAAUGUCGCGGUGAAUACGUUCCCGGGCCUUGUACACACCGCCCGUCACACCAUGAGAGCCGAUAACACCCGAAGCCUGUGAGCUAACCGUAAGGGGGCAGCAGUCGAAGGUGGGGUUGGUGAUUGGGGUGAAGUCGUAACAAGGUAGC